UGAUUUGCAAAGAAAGAAGCGAGGAAGACUUUUUUUUUAUAUUCCUAUCUUAUCUUGUCUCCAUGUCCCAUCAAAUGUAUGGAUGAAGAAAUACAAAGUUGGGAUGUGAGAUUGAUAAACUUUAUUUUAGUCUAGUAUCAUUAUCAUCUAUUAUGCCACAAUUUUUUUUACCAACAACCUACACUACGCCAAAAAUGACUUUUAACAGCGCAUCUUAGACAGCGCUUUUAAAAGAAAGCGCUGUCUAAGGUUAAAAUUAAAAUAAAACACGGAAAAUGUUCCAAAAAAAUAAUGAAAGCGCUUUUAAAUAUAGACCUUAGUCAGCGCUUUUGAUAAAGCGCUGUCUAAAGUCUUUAAAUUAAAAAAA
RNAcentral lists this long non-coding RNA (367 nucleotides) under Lathyrus oleraceus (garden pea). RNAcentral's name for it is "Pisum sativum (pea) long non-coding RNA (PSAT_LNC033437)". The record is from RNAcentral. Lineage: Eukaryota; Viridiplantae; Streptophyta; Magnoliopsida; Fabales; Fabaceae.